GUCUAUGGCCAUACCACCUUGAACACACCCAAUCUCAUCUAGUCUUGGAAGCUAAGCAGAGUUGGGCGUGCUUAGUACUUGAAUGGGAGAAAAAGGAAAAAAAAAAAAUCUGCAGAAU
RNAcentral lists this ribosomal RNA (118 nucleotides) under Erinaceus europaeus (western European hedgehog). Lineage: Eukaryota; Metazoa; Chordata; Mammalia; Eulipotyphla; Erinaceidae. The record is from RNAcentral.